UGGGGAAUUUUGGACAAUGGGCGCAAGCCUGAUCCAGCCAUGCCGCGUGCGGGAAGAAGGCCUUCGGGUUGUAAACCGCUUUUGUCAGGGAAGAAAUCUUCUGAGUUAAUACCUCGGGAGGAUGACGGUACCUGAAGAAUAAGCACCGGCUAACUACGUGCCAGCAGCCGCGGUAAUACGUAGGGUGCAAGCGUUAAUCGGAAUUACUGGGCGUAAAGCGUGCGCAGGCGGUUUUGUAAGACAGAGGUGAAAUCCCCGGGCUCAACCUGGGAACUGCCUUUGUGACUGCAAGGCUUGAGUGCGGCAGAGGGGGAUGGAAUUCCGCGUGUAGCAGUGAAAUGCGUAGAUAUGCGGAGGAACACCGAUGGCGAAGGCAAUCCCCUGGGCCUGCACUGACGCUCAUGCACGAAAGCGUGGGGAGCAAACAGGAUUAGAUACCCUGGUAGUCCACGCCCUAAACGAUGUCAACUGGUUGUUGGGAAGGUUCCUUCUCAGUAACGUAGCUAACGCGUGAAGUUGACCGCCUGGGGAGUAC
Molecule: ribosomal RNA, 535 nt
Filed under: uncultured bacterium
Lineage: Bacteria
Description: partial 16S ribosomal RNA
Rfam family: Bacterial small subunit ribosomal RNA
Source: RNAcentral